GCAAUUGGAUUGAGAACAACGUACAAACCUUAUCGAUAAACAAUUGGAGGGCAAGUCUGGUGCCAGCAGCCGCGGUAAUUCCAGCUCCAAUAGCGUAUAUUAACGUUGUUGCAGUUAAAAAGCUCGUAGUUGAAAUGAAGGGUAGUUGUGUAAUGAAUACAUUCGUGUAUUUUGUUAUUCUACUACCCUCCUUCUAAAUUCGAUAUAUGAGUAUUAAUUUACUUGUAUAUGGUUUUAGACCUUUACUGUGAGAAAAUUAGAGUGUUCAAAGCAGGCAUUUGCUUGAAUAUAUUAGCAUGGAAUAAUCAUGUAUGAUUUUCAUGAUGUAUUUGAUUGGUUUGGUUCAUGAGAAUAAGAUUAAAAGGGACAGUUGGGGGUAUUCAUAUUCAAUAGUCAGAGGUGAAAUUCUCGGAUUUAUGGAA
RNAcentral lists this ribosomal RNA (422 nucleotides) under Blastocystis sp. A12. RNAcentral's name for it is "bacterial SSU rRNA". It matches the Rfam family "Eukaryotic small subunit ribosomal RNA", at positions 505 to 933 of the family's 1831-position model. The record is from RNAcentral. Lineage: Eukaryota; Bigyra; Opalinata; Blastocystidae.